GAUGAACGCUGGCGGCGUGCCUAAUACAUGCAAGUCGAACGCAUAGCGAAAGGUGCUUGCACCUUUCAAGUGAGUGGCGAACGGGUGAGUAACACGUGGACAACCUGCCUCAAGGCUGGGGAUAACAUUUGGAAACAGAUGCUAAUACCGAAUAAAACUUAGUGUCGCAUGACACAAAGUUAAAAGGCGCUUCGGCGUCACCUAGAGAUGGAUCCGCGGUGCAUUAGUUAGUUGGUGGGGUAAAGGCCUACCAAGACAAUGAUGCAUAGCCGAGUUGAGAGGCAGAUCGGCCACAUUGGGACUGAGACACGGCCCAAACUCCUACGGGAGGCUGCAGUAGGGAAUCUUCCACAAUGGGCGAAAGCCUGAUGGAGCAACGCCGCGUGUGUGAUGAAGGCUUUCGGGUCGUAAAGCACUGUUGUAUGGGAAGAACAGCUAGAAUAGGAAAUGAUUUUAGUUUGACGGUACCAUACCAGAAAGGGACGGCUAAAUACGUG
Molecule: ribosomal RNA, 497 nt
Filed under: uncultured bacterium
Lineage: Bacteria
Description: partial 16S ribosomal RNA
Rfam family: Bacterial small subunit ribosomal RNA
Source: RNAcentral